RNAcentral lists this ribosomal RNA (454 nucleotides) under uncultured Prevotella sp. RNAcentral's name for it is "partial 16S ribosomal RNA". It matches the Rfam family "Bacterial small subunit ribosomal RNA", at positions 341 to 792 of the family's 1533-position model. The record is from RNAcentral. Lineage: Bacteria; Pseudomonadati; Bacteroidota; Bacteroidia; Bacteroidales; Prevotellaceae.
ACGGGAGGCAGCAGUGAGGAAUAUUGGUCAAUGGACGGAAGUCUGAACCAGCCAAGUAGCGUGCAGGAUGACGGCCCUAUGGGUUGUAAACUGCUUUUAUAUGGGGAUAAAAAAGAGUACGUGUACUUUCUUGCAGGUACCAUAUGAAUAAGGACCGGCUAAUUCCGUGCCAGCAGCCGCGGUAAUACGGAAGGUCCGGGCGUUAUCCGGAUUUAUUGGGUUUAAAGGGUGCGCAGGCGGCCCGUUAAGUCAGCGGUGAAAUGUCGGGGCUCAACCCGGGCACUGCCGUUGAAACUGGGGGGCUUGAGUACGGAUGAGGUCGGCGGAAUGUGACGUGUAGCGGUGAAAUGCAUAGAUAUGUCACAGAACACCGAUUGCGAAGGCAGCCGGCCAAUCCGCAACUGACGCUCAUGCACGAAAGCGUGGGGAUCGAACAGGAUUAGAUACCCUGGUA